GCUCAGAUUAAACGCUGGCGGCAGGCCUAACACAUGCAAGUCGAGCGGUAGCACAAGAGAGCUUGCUCUCUGGGUGACGAGCGGCGGACGGGUGAGUAAUGUUUGGGAAACUGCCUGAUGGUGGGGGAUAACUAGUGGAAACGGUAGCUAAUACCGCAUAAUGUCGCAAGACCAAAGUGGGGGACCUUCGGGCCUCACGCCAUCAGAUGUGCCCAGAUGGGAUUAGCUGUUAGGUGGGGUAAUGGCUCACCUAGGCGACGAUCCCUAGCUGGUCUGAGAGGAUGACCAGCCACACUGGAACUGAGACACGGUCCAGACUCCUACGGGAGGCAGCAGUGGGGAAUAUUGCACAAUGGGCGCAAGCCUGAUGCAGCCAUGCCGCGUGUGUGAAGAAGGCCUUCGGGUUGUAAAGCACUUUCAGCGAGGAGGAAGGGUAAUGUGUU
Molecule: ribosomal RNA, 443 nt
Filed under: Serratia symbiotica
Lineage: Bacteria; Pseudomonadati; Pseudomonadota; Gammaproteobacteria; Enterobacterales; Yersiniaceae
Description: bacterial SSU rRNA
Rfam family: Bacterial small subunit ribosomal RNA
Source: RNAcentral